AGUAAUUUCGUGAAGAGGAUGAACUUAUAGGCCAUAGUUAAGUAAAGUAAUAGACUGAGGUUGAUAUUUCUAUUUGAUGGGCUAGUAUAAUAUGUUCUAUGCUUCAUCGGUGUUACUUGAUUGGUGCUAGAUAAUAGGCUUGAACUUUAGAUUUGGAUUGUGGUGGUAAGAAUAGUAGCUUAAGGUUAAUGAUGCAUGUUUUAUGGGAGUAAGUAGUAGGCU
RNAcentral lists this long non-coding RNA (222 nucleotides) under Capsicum annuum. RNAcentral describes it as "long non-coding RNA (CANN_LNC010978)". The record is from RNAcentral. Lineage: Eukaryota; Viridiplantae; Streptophyta; Magnoliopsida; Solanales; Solanaceae.